GUGUAUUUCUAGAUAUGUGAAGGAAUAUUGUCAAAGUGGAUUACAACAAUCGGGGCCAGAAUCAACACAUGAAUUUGUUCUUCCCAAAUUUCCUCUAUUUUCUAUUCAAGAUAUGAGUUUAAGUUUGAUACGAUUCCCACUUCCCAUGUGGCUGGUGCAUGAGCUGCAAUUCAGACUUUAAAAAUUAUAAGCAUAAAAAGAACACAAUUUAGUAAUUUAUGCAGUUUUGAUUAGGAAUCUUGAGUAGUUCAAUUUGAACCUAUGCAAAGUUAAAUAAGUAGUAAUUUUUAUUUAUUAUUUAUUUAUUAUUAUUAUUUUUAUUUUUUUUUUGCAUAUAUUCUGAGCAACUUUUGGUUGAAGUUAUAAUUAAAAGUUUGUAGUAGGGUAUACAAGAAUAUUUUAAAAUGUGAUGCUAAUCUUUUAAUUUUUCUCUGUUUUAAGCAUAUGUUCAACUUUGGUUAAAGUUAUACAUAAAUUUUGUGUGGUAGGUUAUACGAGAAUACUUUAUAUCGUGAUGUUAAUCUUUUACUAUGCAUUUAUCUAAGCAAAAUUUCAUUUUUUUUAAUUAAUGUUAUACUUAAAAGUUUAUGAUAAGGAACACAAGAAUAAUUUAAAAUGUGAUACUGAUUUUUUAAUUUGCAUUUAUUCUAAGCAAAUCUUUGCUUUUGGUUAAAGUUCUACAUGAAAAACAAUGAUAGGAGAUAUGAGAAUACAUUAAGCCCCUAUUUGGUGGUCAUUACUUUCAAAAAACAAUCAUUUAAAUGGUAAUUUUUAAGAGAAUGUAUGGUUAAAAAAUAAGAAAACAUUUCGGGUUUAUGAUACAGGAAAAUCACAGCAAACAAACUGAUUCUUAAAAAAAAAAUGACAGAUACCAGAUAUUAGUUAUGACCACUCAUAGACAAUUGCCUCAAAGUAUAGAGUAGGAUUAAGGCUCACCACUUCAAGGAAAGGGCUAGAGAUCCAGAACACUCAAAGAAGAAAACUCUUCUAAAAAAAACAACCAAGUCUUUAACUUUUU
Molecule: long non-coding RNA, 1018 nt
Filed under: Olea europaea (common olive)
Lineage: Eukaryota; Viridiplantae; Streptophyta; Magnoliopsida; Lamiales; Oleaceae
Description: long non-coding RNA (OEUR_LNC006226)
Source: RNAcentral